CUCAAGGGCCCUCAACCUGAGGCAGAUCUUCCUAGGAGCCCUGGCAACUUGACGGAGAGAGAAGAGCUGGCAGGGAGCCUGGCCCGGGCUAUUGCAGGUGGAGACGAGAAGGGGGCAGCCCAAGUGGCAGCCGUCCUGGCCCAGCAUCGUGUGGCCCUGAGUGUUCAGCUUCAGGAGGCCUGCUUCCCACCUGGCCCCAUCAGGCUGCAGGUCACACUUGAAGACGCUGCCUCUGCCGCAUCCGCCGCGUCCUCUGCACACGUUGCCCUGCAGGUCCACCCCCACCGCACCGUUGCAGCUCUCCAGGAGCAGGUGGGCACAGGGUCUGGGGAGCCCUGCCAGGGGCAGAGGAGCCUAGGUGACAUCACCUGCCCUGAUGCUCUGACCACAGGUGUUCUCAGAGCUCGGUUUCCCGCCAGCCGUGCAACGCUGGGUCAUCGGACGGUGCCUGUGUGUGCCUGAGCGCAGCCUUGCCUCUUACGGGGUUCAGCAGGAUGGGGACCCUGCUUUCCUCUACUUGC
Molecule: small RNA, 521 nt
Filed under: Pan troglodytes (chimpanzee)
Lineage: Eukaryota; Metazoa; Chordata; Mammalia; Primates; Hominidae
Description: retained intron
Source: RNAcentral